This 241-nucleotide unclassified non-coding RNA is filed under the name Mollisia sp. RNAcentral's name for it is "partial contains 5.8S ribosomal RNA, internal transcribed spacer 2, and large subunit ribosomal RNA". Lineage: Eukaryota; Fungi; Ascomycota; Leotiomycetes; Helotiales; Mollisiaceae. The record is from RNAcentral.
AACGCAUAUGGCACCUUUUGGUCUUUACUGAAAGGUAUGCCUGUUUGAGAAUCAUUUAUCCCUUUGAUCCUUGUGAUCGCAGAUCCCUGGUCAAGACAUGGACCUUCAUCACUGAUCGUCUCGAAUCUAUGCACGGAUUGUUCGUGACAAAGAUGCGCACUUGUUGCGCUGUUGCUGUUGAUCGAUCAAUCCAUCCCUCACCAAUGAUCUCAAAUCAGGCAAGACUACCCGCUGAACUUAA